GAUUUAUUGAUUCAUCAUUGUUGCUUGGGGGAAGAUGCUGCAGACACACAGUGUGGGUUAACACCAUAGAAGGAAAAGACUUGAGACCAAACAUCAACUCUUUCACAACUACAAAGCAGAACUAAAAACCACACACUUUUCUGAGAAAUAUAAAUUAGUACACUGUAAACUUUAUCAUUUCCCUUACAGCCUUCUGAAGCAGAAGUCCAGUAAAGAGCAUCACAGCAGAGCAGACAGCCUCCUAACAGCUCUCAUACAGGACUGCAGCAGGACUUUAAACAUUUGUUCAGGAUGAACAGAAAUCCACAGGAGGAAAUUGAGGAAAUCGAUGAAGAAGAAGAUGACUAUGUUAAUGCAGCAGCCUGGACUGUGGAUAAAGUGGCAGCCCCUCCAGACCAGAGGUCUCUCUUCUUCACUCAGUCUUUUCCACUGAUAGCAGUGUGUUGGCUGAUACUGUUAGUCAUCAUGGGCCUUCGUAUCCACUUU
This is a long non-coding RNA of Perca fluviatilis (European perch), 486 nucleotides long. RefSeq lists it as uncharacterized. The transcript is spliced from 3 exons. The record is from RefSeq and is a predicted model, not a curated record. Lineage: Eukaryota; Metazoa; Chordata; Actinopteri; Perciformes; Percidae.